Long non-coding RNA from Clupea harengus (Atlantic herring), 1481 nucleotides. The record is from Ensembl. Lineage: Eukaryota; Metazoa; Chordata; Actinopteri; Clupeiformes; Clupeidae.
GAUUUUCUGUCACACCCAAAGAAGCCUCUGGCGCUGCCUUGCUCGAUGCAGCUUCUGCUGCCAUCGAUGCAGCCUCUGCCACCCUCGAAGCAGCCUCUGAUGCUGCCGCCUCCGAGGUCGUCUCUGCUGCCCCAGAUGUAGCCUCCGUCGCUACCACUCCCAAAGCAGCCUCUGCCUCUCCCGAAGCAGCUUCUGAUGCUGCCACCCCCGAAGCAGCCUCUGACGCUGCCGCCCCCGACGUAGCCUCUGUCGCUACCACCCCAGAAGCAGCCUCUGAUGCCACUGACGUAGCCUCCGUCGCUACCACUCCCGAAGCACCCACUGCUGCCCCCGACGUAGUCUCUGUUGCUAGCAACCCUGAAGCAGCCUCUGUCGCUGCUGUCCCUGAAGCAGCCUCUGAUGCCACUGACGUAGCCUCCGUCGCUACCGCUCCCGAAGCACCCACUGCUGCCCCCGACGUAGCCUCUGUUGCUAGCAACCCCGAAGCAGCCUCUGUCGCUGCUGUCCCUGAAGCAGUCUCUGAAGAAAUUGCUGAUGGUGACGCCACUGAGGCCUACGCCACAGCAGAACCAGCCGCCGCAGAUCAAGCCGCCGCUCUCCCUGCAGACCGAGCCGUCGCUGACCCUGCAGACCCGGCCGUCGCUGACCCUGCAGACCCGGCCGUCGCUGACCCUGCAGACCCAGCCGUCGCUGACCCAGCAGACCCAGCCGACGCUCACCCAGCUUGUGCGUACCCUACAGCCAGCGCUGCCGACCCGGACCCCGCAGCCACCGCUGCCGACCCACACCCCGCAGCUGACCCGGACCCUGCUGCCACAGCUGCCAACCAAGAUCCUCCAGCAUCCGUUUCCGAUGCAGGUCCAGCAGCACCCUCUGCCGAGACCGGUCCAGCAGCACCUUCUGAUGGCGUCGCUGCUGAGGGCUCUGCUGUUCCAAGCGCCCCUGUCCCGAGCGCCCCUGUCCCGAGCGCCCCUGUCCCGAGCGCCCCUGUCCCGAGCGCCCCAGGCGCCCCUGUCCCGAGCGUCCCAGGCGCCCCUGUCCCGAGCGUCCCAGGCUCCCCUGUCCCGAGCGUCCCAGGCUCCCCUGUCCCGAGCGUCCCAGGCUCCCCUGUCCCGAGCGUCCCAGGCUCCCCUGUCCCGAGCGUCCCAGGCUCCCCUGUCCCGAGCGUCCCAGGCGCCCCGGUCCCGAGCGUCCCAGGCUCCCCUGUCCCGAGCGCCUCAGGCGUCCCGGUCCCGAGCGUCUCCGGCGUUCCUGUCCAAGGUGUCCUUGCGCCGGUUCCAGGCGUCCAUGCGCCGGCCCCAGGCGCUUCGGAUCCUGUCUCCAGUGUUCCUGGGUUCCCUGUCCCAGCUGCAGCAGACCCAGGGUUCGGUGCCGCCAGCCCUAAUGAACCAGCGAGUCCAGGUGCCACGUCUACCCCAGCCACUGGCCCUGCAACCCCAAACACCAAUCGAUAUCGCUGGCAUCUAUUUGUUGUUAGGGUU